RNAcentral lists this unclassified non-coding RNA (83 nucleotides) under Pseudomonas mohnii. Lineage: Bacteria; Pseudomonadati; Pseudomonadota; Gammaproteobacteria; Pseudomonadales; Pseudomonadaceae. The record is from RNAcentral.
UGUAGGAGCGAGCCUGCUCGCGAAGGCGUGUCAGUUGACACCAACGUAGCGGAUACACCAUCGCGAGCAGGCUCGCUCCUACA